This 1437-nucleotide ribosomal RNA is filed under the name uncultured organism. Its description in RNAcentral is "SSU rRNA". It matches the Rfam family "Bacterial small subunit ribosomal RNA". The record is from RNAcentral.
UACAGGCUUAACACAUGCAAGUCGAGGGGCAGCAUGGUCUUAGCUUGCUAAGACUGAUGGCGACCGGCGCACGGGUGAGUAACACGUAUCCAACCUGCCGUCUACUCUUGGACAGCCUUCUGAAAGGAAGAUUAAUACAAGAUGGCAUCAUGAGUCCGCAUGUUCACAUGAUUAAAGGUAUUCCGGUAGACGAUGGGGAUGCGUUCCAUUAGAUAGUAGGCGGGGUAACGGCCCACCUAGUCUUCGAUGGAUAGGGGUUCUGAGAGGAAGAUCCCCCACAUUGGAACUGAGACACGGUCCAAACUCCUACGGGAGGCAGCAGUGAGGAAUAUUGGUCAAUGGGCGAGAGCCUGAACCAGCCAAGUAGCGUGAAGGAUGACUGCCCUAUGGGUUGUAAACUUCUUUUAUAAAGGAAUAAAGUCGGGUAUGCAUACCCGUUUGCAUGUACUUUAUGAAUAAGGAUCGGCUAACUCCGUGCCAGCAGCCGCGGUAAUACGGAGGAUCCGAGCGUUAUCCGGAUUUAUUGGGUUUAAAGGGAGCGUAGAUGGAUGUUUAAGUCAGUUGUGAAAGUUUGCGGCUCAACCGUAAAAUUGCAGUUGAUACUGGAUAUCUUGAGUGCAGUUGAGGCAGGCGGAAUUCGUGGUGUAGCGGUGAAAUGCUUAGAUAUCACGAAGAACUCCGAUUGCGAAGGCAGCCUGCUAAGCUGCAACUGACAUUGAGGCUCGAAAGUGUGGGUAUCAAACAGGAUUAGAUACCCUGGUAGUCCACACGGUAAACGAUGAAUACUCGCUGUUUGCGAUAUACGGCAAGCGGCCAAGCGAAAGCGUUAAGUAUUCCACCUGGGGAGUACGCCGGCAACGGUGAAACUCAAAGGAAUUGACGGGGGCCCGCACAAGCGGAGGAACAUGUGGUUUAAUUCGAUGAUACGCGAGGAACCUUACCCGGGCUUAAAUUGCAGAUGAAUUACGGUGAAAGCCGUAAGCCGCAAGGCAUCUGUGAAGGUGCUGCAUGGUUGUCGUCAGCUCGUGCCGUGAGGUGUCGGCUUAAGUGCCAUAACGAGCGCAACCCUUGUUGUCAGUUACUAACAGGUUCCGCUGAGGACUCUGACAAGACUGCCAUCGUAAGAUGUGAGGAAGGUGGGGAUGACGUCAAAUCAGCACGGCCCUUACGUCCGGGGCUACACACGUGUUACAAUGGGGGGUACAGAGGGCCGCUACCACGCGAGUGGAUGCCAAUCCCCAAAACCUCUCUCAGUUCGGACUGGAGUCUGCAACCCGACUCCACGAAGCUGGAUUCGCUAGUAAUCGCGCAUCAGCCACGGCGCGGUGAAUACGUUCCCGGGCCUUGUACACACCGCCCGUCAAGCCAUGGGAGCCGGGGGUACCUGAAGUGCGUAACCGCGAGGAGCGCCCUAGGGUAAAACUGGUGACUGGGGCU